GCAGGAUCGGUUCUGCCAAGAAAGCUGUGCAGGUUCCUCAGGGCUGUUAUAUUUAGGAAUGGAGGGAGUAAAUUCAGUCAACACUUGCGAAUAUAUUGUGUAGCUGCAUUUGUUAAUCCUUGCAUUGCUCCCUAUACAUCGAACUUGGCAGUGCAAAUCUUGCUACUUAGUUGGCACAACCCAAUCCCUGCUCCCCGAUCCAGCAACGAUAAUGGAAGCACAUUUGGUUUUUCAAGUUGUGAAUGCAACCUAACAUCUGAAAGUGGCAUGGUACAGGGGCUUCACGCACGCUAUGCCAUGCCAGCGAUUGGCAUUGGAGCAGGGGGAGAAGAAGAAGGCCAAUGUUGCAGGCACUUGUUGAUUCUUGCGCUACGCGGAGCAGUAUAAAUACGGGAGGGCACCGCCCCAACCAACGGCCCAACCGCCUCGCCCCCAAUUCUUCAAACUCCCGCCAUUCCCAACGGCCGCCUCCAUGGCCUCCUCCUCCUCCUCCGCCGCCGCCUCCAUGUCCUCCAUGGCCUCCUCCGCCGCCAUGCCCUCCACGAGCUCCGCCUCCUCCUCUACGCGCACCGCCGCGUCCUCUUCGCUGGCCCACGCUGACGCCGUGCCCGCGCCCGUGCCUGCGCCCGGACGCGUCGACGACGCCGACGCUUCCUCUUUGCCGGCCCCCGCUGACGCCGCGCCCGCGCCCGCGCCUGCACCAGGACGCGUCGACGACGCCGCCUCUUCCUCUUCGCCGGCCCCCGCUGACGCCGCGCCCGCGCCCGGACGCGUCGACGACGUCGCUUUUCCGCGUCUGGGGACCGCGCCGCCGCGUCCGCCGAGGGGAGGGAGAGCUGCGCCGCCACCGCCUCCUCUGAGGGGGAGAGAGGCGCGUCGGCAUGGAGGGAAGACUCCCAGAUUCACGUUCAACAGGGAUACCAUCACGCUGUCGCUUGGUUCGCUCUACGGGAGCGCGCCAGGUACUGCGGCCACGGCCGAGGCAGCCGGGCCGACUGUGGGCACGGCCGAGGCGGUCGAUGCGCCGUCGGGGAACACCUCGGCGGGCGAUGCCGAGCCGGGGACGACCCCACCGAGCGGCGUCGCGCAAGGAAGAGUCGCCGCAGAGUCUGCAGUUGCCCCAGGUGCGGAAUCCCAAUUCGAUUCGAUUUCUUGAGUUCUUGCAAGCUAAUUUCCAUGUCGACCCGAUUCGAUUUCUUGGAUUUCUUGCAAGCUAAUCGGAGGAAUUUCCUUCAGGGGCUCCCACCCUGCCUGCUGUGCAGGCGUUCGCGUUCCGCGACCUGUUCGAGCAGUUGCGAAGCUCCUGGUCCCCGCCGCCGCCGCAGCUGCAGGGCCCUCCCUAUCGCGACCUCGUCCCGCUCCAGGGGCCGCUGCAGCCGCCGCCGCUGCAGGCAGCUAGCUAUCGCGACGUCGUCCCGCUCCAGGGACCUCCGCCCCAGUUCGCGCCGCCGGGCCACGCCCACUACGCCAGAGCAAUGCAGUUCGCGGCGCGGCCGCAACACAUGCGUUUCCACCUCUACGAGCCAGGGAGGCCAAGACUGUUCCUGGACGUGCUCUGGCAUUUCCAGGCGACGCCCCCCGGCCACCCACAGGGGCCUACACGUCUUCUGCCGCUCCCCGGCCACCCACAGGGGGCCUUGCAGCGCGCGUAUCCUCCUCUGCCGCCUGUUGGGCACGCGGGCAGCCUGUGCUGGGAUUGCCAGGUCCGGCCGGCGGCGACGCCGUUUCCCUGCGGCCACUUCUUCCUGUGCCUCCUAUGUUACCAGCGCCGCUUCUCGUGUCCGUGUUGCACCGGCGAGGUUCCCCAGCCUUUCUGAAGGUACGUCUGGUGUACGUAGAUGCUAUUUGCUGCCUGACAUUCAUCUUUUGCUGCCUGAAACAGAAACAGUUUACUGAACCUGUUAUAGUCCCAGAAACAGUUUACUGAAAAUGUUGUAGCUGAAAAAAACAGUUUACUGAAACUGUUAUAGUCCCAGAAACACUUUACUGAAAAUGUUCUAGUCUGAAAAAAAUAGUUUACUGAAACUGUUGUAGUCCCAGAAAUAGUUUACUGGAAAUGUUGUACUCUGAAAAAACAGUUUACUGAAACUCUUGUAGUCUGAUAGGUAUUGGGAAUUUUCUGCAACUGUUGUAAUCUUGUAGGUAAGUAAAAGAAGAUCUGUUAUUCCGGGAAUAAGCCAUCAUGGAAUUUAGAACUCCAAAUCAGUUGAUCCAUCUCAUUCAGCCUUAACAUAGAAGAGUAUGAUAUUCGUUUGAUUUAGCCAUUUUACUUGCGUCGAAUAACUCUGAACAAAACUCAGGUUACAGGAAUUAUAAUAAGAGAGUUUUUACUGUACCCUGAAACUAGUAUGGACCGUCCAUUCAUUAUAAUAGAGAGUUUUGCCAUGUGCAUUUGUUCAGUCCUUGAUUCAGAUAAUUCGGUUCCAUUUCGGAGCAUUUGCCUAUACAUCUUGUAGAUAAGUAAAAGAAGAUUAGAGUGCAACUGAAACUCUUGUAGUCUGAAACUAAUACGUGUUGGGAAUUGCCUGCAACUGUUCUAAUCUUGUAGAUAAAUAAAAGAAGAUCAUUAUGGAACUUAAAACUCCAAAUCAGUUGAUUCAACUCCUUUUGGACUUUUCAUAGAAGAUGGUGAUAUCCAUUUUAUUUAGCACAUUUUACUUGCCUCGAAUAAAUCUGGGAACAAAAUUCAGAUUCCAACAAUGCUAAAUUAAAUUAAUCUUGUUUCUGCAGAUGAGCAGUUUUCAGGUUUUGCACAUGAGCUCAAACCUUAGUCUUGGUUUUUAUUUUAUUUUACAGAAUUCUGAUAUGUAGAUUUUACUUCAGUUGAGUGCUAAUGUGAUCGUGCUUGGAAAAAGGAUAUUAUAAUACGUUCUCUUAGGAUCUGGUAGUUGUCUGAAACUGUUGCCGUUGUGUGUUGAGUAAAAGUUGUUGGAUGAACAUAGUUGGAUGAACAUAGUUGUUGUCUGAAACCUCUGAAUUAAAUUCAGGUAGUAUCUUACAAUAGGGCAUAUAAGCUUAGUUCCUUGCGCAUUAUAUUGUUUCAAGAUGUUUCCUUCUUGAUCUUGUUAUUGAUUAUGUCUGAUGCCUAACUUGCUUAUAAUUUCCUCUAUUUCAGCCUAUGAUGAGCUGCGAUACCCGGAUGUCGACGCAGAGUAGAAGAAGAUCCAAUGACAGAAGAACUGGACGUUUACUUUUGUCUACAGAAAAGAUAGAUAUAGGUCUAGAAAAAUAUAAUCAGCAAAUAUCGAUUAAACUCUCUCCGUUCCAUCGACAGAAUAUGUGCUUUGGCCUCGCAGUCCUAUGAUUCAGGACUGCUGGAAUUGUUGACGUUGGAUGUAGUUGCUUUUCUGACAUUCAUCUCUGUGAUGUGAGUUGUGGACGAAACAUUUGAACUUAGUUUGUUUUUGCAAUGAUUCGAUGGUCAUGCAGUUUCUUUAGAUCAUGCAUUUUUUAUACCUGG
Molecule: long non-coding RNA, 3460 nt
Filed under: Hordeum vulgare
Lineage: Eukaryota; Viridiplantae; Streptophyta; Magnoliopsida; Poales; Poaceae
Description: long non-coding RNA (HVUL_LNC014718)
Source: RNAcentral